GGAAGUGGAAGUUCGACUAAGACCGUCACGUCAAUCGCCAACGUCGAACGACCCCACGUCGUGUGGG
This 67-nucleotide small RNA is filed under the name Pontibacillus chungwhensis BH030062. Its description in RNAcentral is "Bacillaceae-1 RNA". It matches the Rfam family "Bacillaceae-1 RNA". Lineage: Bacteria; Bacillati; Bacillota; Bacilli; Caryophanales; Bacillaceae. The record is from Rfam by way of RNAcentral.